RNAcentral lists this ribosomal RNA (497 nucleotides) under uncultured bacterium. RNAcentral's name for it is "partial 16S ribosomal RNA". It matches the Rfam family "Bacterial small subunit ribosomal RNA", at positions 28 to 507 of the family's 1533-position model. The record is from RNAcentral.
GACGAACGCUGGCGGCGUGCCUAAUACAUGCAAGUUGAGCGCUGAAGGUUGGUACUUGUACCAACUGGAUGAGCAGCGAACGGGUGAGUAACGCGUGGGGAAUCUGCCUUUGAGCGGGGGACAACAUUUGGAAACGAAUGCUAAUACCGCAUAAAAACUUUAAACACAAGUUUUAAGUUUGAAAGAUGCAAUUGCAUCACUCAAAGAUGAUCCCGCGUUGUAUUAGCUAGUUGGUGAGGUAAAGGCUCACCAAGGCGAUGAUACAUAGCCGACCUGAGAGGGUGAGCGGCCACAUUGAGACUGAGACACGGCCCAAACUCCUACGGGAGGCAGCAGUAGGGAAUCUUCGGCAAUGGACGAAAGUCUGACCGAGCAACGCCGCGUGAGUGAAGAAGGUUUUCGGAUCGUAAAACUCUGUUGGUAGAGAAGAACGUUGGUGAGAGUGGAAAGCUCAUCAAGUGACGGUAACUACCCAGAAAGGGACGGCUAACUACGUG